Solanum stenotomum is the source of this 540-nucleotide long non-coding RNA. RefSeq lists it as uncharacterized. NCBI's taxonomy places the organism in Eukaryota, Viridiplantae, Streptophyta, Magnoliopsida, Solanales, Solanaceae. The record is from RefSeq and is a predicted model, not a curated record. The transcript is spliced from 4 exons.
AAUAGGAUUUCCUAAUGAAAGCAACUUCAGCUUUGUCUCCUCCGCUGCCACCACCAAAAUGUCGCUUCGCACCCUUCAUAACAAAGACCGUCACCAGCUCGUCCUCUGGGUGAUCAAUAUUCUUCACCGGUGUGUAUUUCAGUGGAGGUUUAAGAGUUUGGGAUAAACUCGAAAAGGGGUUAGAACUGGGUAUUUAAGUUUUGUAGCUCACAAGUUUUCCUUGCAUGCUGAUACAUUCAAUGUAUUGAUCUGACGCCAUUUGGACUGCAUUGUUUCAUGAUGGAGAUACAAGUAUUCAAGAUCAUCAACCGGUACUCUGUUGAUCUAGUCAUAUUCCAGCUAGCUUUGCUACAGAUCUUAAGCUUUGGCCUAUGAAGAUUGAGCCACGAGCAUGUCAUGAGACGAAAAUGUGUAGAUGCGAUGGAGAACUUUAUUAUUUUAUUUUAUUUUACAUGUAAUAAAGCUUAAGUUUAUUUUUGUACUUAAUUUGGGUAAUAGAUUCAUUUAAUUAAUUAAAGAGAAAUGGCAUGACAUAUUUUG